Long non-coding RNA from Mercurialis annua (annual mercury), 1845 nucleotides. RefSeq lists it as uncharacterized. The transcript is spliced from 2 exons. The record is from RefSeq and is a predicted model, not a curated record. NCBI's taxonomy places the organism in Eukaryota, Viridiplantae, Streptophyta, Magnoliopsida, Malpighiales, Euphorbiaceae.
AACCCAAAAAAACUCUAGCCAUGUCAAGUCCACCACAUUUUGUAUAAAUUGCACGACUAUGAAUCCUUGACAAAACAUGUUUUCUUGGCUUAGUCUUUACACUAUCCUUUAAUCUUACACUUUGCAUACAAAGUGUAAGAUUGUCAACCACAAAAGGAUAACAUGUCAGUAACUGCCCCUCGAAAGUGAUUGUUCUCUUUUUUCCUUAAAAUUUGCAUAUUAACUGAGAUUCUUGAAAAUUAUUUCUAUUUUUUUAUUGCAGCAGAUCUAAAAAGGGUCGACAUUCCAAGAAACAAUAGGCCUUUCAGACAUUUCAUCGAGCAACUUACACCCAUCUAAAAUAUUUUUGCACAAAUCAAAAUCCAAACCAUCCACAUAAACAUAAAAAAAAAAAAUCAAACCAUCCACAUCAAAUAUAAUUGCUGAAAACUAUACUUGACGAAACACGUGAAAGAUCAAUGGAAAAGGCAGCUAAAUUUGGGAACUAUUAUAAGUAGCAAUGCCCAAAUAGAAAAGAUAAAAAAUAAUCACAUAUUUGAAUUGAAAACCUUAACACAUUUUCAUUGAAGCAUUUAUUCAAAUACAUACAAUGCAUCUAUUAUAAACAAAAAGAAAACCAUAACAGAUAGUUGCAAAUACAGAGGUCUACUUGAAACAAUGGAAGAGGUGGUUGGAAAUUUCAAAGAUGUUUAAUUAGGGUAUGGAGAUGAGUUGGUUGGUGGUGUUUUGAAUUUAAUUGUCAUCAUAAUGUUCGACUUAUUUACCCAAAGAAGCCACACAUAAACAUAAGCAGGCAAAAACAAAGUUAUGCACCUGCUAAUGUUAUGCUUAAAACCAAGUCCGAGUUGUGUAGCAACUUUAAGAAAACAGAGGUUUAAUGUUCAAUUCAAGUGACUUUAAUUCAAGCCAGUGUUGAAUAUGCUUCAGUAGAAUUCCUUUCUUGUGAAAUUUGUCGCUGAUUUGGCUAAUUUUUAUGGUGUGUUUUCAUGCAACGCAAAUUGCAGGAACCAAUAAUUCCAGAUUUGCUCUCAAUAAAUAUGAGUCGUUAUUGGAAAACUCAUGUUCAUUCUUCACUAAUUGUUGCAAAAACUAAGGAAUUUAACUCUUGGAUUCAAUAGAAAAUAAGGGAAGAUGUUUUCUUAAUUUAUCAAAGUUCCUGCGCCGUUGGAAAGCUCCUGCGCCUGAUCUGUUGAAGCUUAAUUCUGAUCCAGCAACUGAUGAAGAAGCGGCAGCUGCGGGCUUGGGAGUGAUUAUCCGGAAUGAAGAUGGUCUGAUUAUGGUGUCAGCCGCGAAGAAAGUUCAGGCCGUUUAGAGUGUUGCUAUCGGUGAAAGCUUGACUUGACUAUCUAUUUUGGGCUCUGCAUUACUCUGGACUGCAGGUUCCGGAAUUUGAUUGUCGAAAGCGAUUCUCUUUCGGUUAUCCAAAUGCUUCAGAAUGGGCAAACUGAUCAUACCCGCCAAGGUCUAGUUUUGGAUGAUAUCACUAGUCUAGUUCCUUUUUUGCCUACUUAGAUAUAUGAUUUAACUGGAGACAGGUCGUUUGAUUACCAUCUUCAAUAGUCUCUUGUCAAAAAUUAUGAGCUCAGACGAGAUGAUCAUCAGAGGUGGAAACUUGAAGAAAACAGAGGUUUAAUGUCCAGAGCCUCUCCGCCUAUGAAAAUUAUGAUUAUUAUUCAGGAAAUUUGUGUCCUUCCCCUUGUCCAUUGGGACUUCCUACCUUGUGGAGUAGAUUGUAGUGAAGGAUCUGUUUGGCCAAUGUUGAAUAUGCAUAAUUUGUAACCACAUUGUUCGGCAGAAAUGCUUUCUUGUCAAAAUUUGUUCAAUCAAACAUUUCUGAAUUUUCUA